Molecule: long non-coding RNA, 663 nt
Organism: Passer domesticus (house sparrow)
Lineage: Eukaryota; Metazoa; Chordata; Aves; Passeriformes; Passeridae
Exons: 3
Source: RefSeq, a predicted model, not a curated record
GUCUUGUAGAAUCACAUGUCCAUGUUAGGUUAGAAUCUCCUGCAUGCACCUCAAGCCUGAAUAAAUGAUGCCCUCUAACAAAAUUUUAGUAUUGGAGAGUUUGACUCCUAUAUUUUGGACAUUGGUAACAGUAAUUUGGCAACCCAGAUGGGACUUCAGCCUUGAGCCCUGGAGGGUCUGUGGCCAAUAGAUCUCCAGCUAGCUCUGAGGGAUUCUUGGGGAGAGCUUUGACUUCUGAUCAUCUCCUGGGGCUCAGGGACAAUCCCUGGUCCUCUUUCUCUUCCCCCCUGUAUUGUUGUCACUAGUUGGGGCAUAUGAGGGAAGGCAGGCUUGUUACUAGGAGGCUCGGCAUGGCAACACCUAAUCUCCAAUCAAGAUGUAAGAAAGUAAUCUCCACCAAUGGGUGGCAGUUUCAGAGAGACAAGCACUGGUACUAAAUAAGGAAAGGGUCGCCCAGAGGAAAUCUGAAAGACUACCGGCCUUUAUCUAGAGACCACCGGGAGGCAGGAUACGACCACCUAGCAACAGAAGAACACAUACGCAGAGUACAACUUAAAGGACACGUCGGCAGGAAACGAUACAGCAUAAAAACCGACUGGAACUGACUGUGGUCGUGGCAGUUGGCGGAGCGCAGACUCUCCUGCCGCCCAGCACUGAUUUGCU